GUUGAAAUAAUGGUCAACAAUUUGUUCCAACCCCAAAUUCCAAAACUUGCGAAGCAAAAUUGUGAGAAUUUGUGAAUUCAAAUGAAAGCACUAUUCGGUUCAUAAAAGCUGAGAGAUUUUGUAAAUAAUGGUUAUUGUGACCCCCUACAACAAGAAGAAGCCAUUUACAAUCAAGCCCAUCAAAGCAAUCUCAUCACAUUAAGAAAAAAA
This 210-nucleotide long non-coding RNA is filed under the name Elaeis guineensis (African oil palm). Its description in RNAcentral is "long non-coding RNA (EGUI_LNC056879)". The record is from RNAcentral. Lineage: Eukaryota; Viridiplantae; Streptophyta; Magnoliopsida; Arecales; Arecaceae.